Molecule: ribosomal RNA, 1286 nt
Filed under: uncultured bacterium
Lineage: Bacteria
Description: bacterial SSU rRNA
Rfam family: Bacterial small subunit ribosomal RNA
Source: RNAcentral
GAGUAACACGUAUCCAACCUGCCGUCUACUCUGGGACAGCCUUCUGAAAGGAAGAUUAAUACAAGAUGGCAUCAUGAGUUCACAUGUUCACAUGAUUAAAGGUAUUCCGGUAGACGAUGGGGAUGCGUUCCAUUAGAUAGUAGGCGGGGUAACGGCCCACCUAGUCUUCGAUGGAUAGGGGUUCUGAGAGGAAGGUCCCCCACAUUGGAACUGAGACACGGUCCAAACUCCUACGGGAGGCAGCAGUGAGGAAUAUUGGUCAAUGGGCGAGAGCCUGAACCAGCCAAGUAGCGUGAAGGAUGACUGCCCUAUGGGUUGUAAACUUCUUUUAUAAAGGAAUAAAGUCGGGUAUGCAUACCCGUUUGCAUGUACUUUAUGAAUAAGGAUCGGCUAACUCCGUGCCAGCAGCCGCGGUAAUACGGAGGAUCCGAGCGUUAUCCGGAUUUAUUGGGUUUAAAGGGAGCGUAGAUGGAUGUUUAAGUCAGUUGUGAAAGUUUGCGGCUCAACCGUAAAAUUGCAGUUGAUACUGGAUAUCUUGAGUGCAGUUGAGGCAGGCGGAAUUCGUGGUGUAGCGGUGAAAUGCUUAGAUAUCACGAAGAACUCCGAUUGCGAAGGCAGCCUGCUAAGCUGCAACUGACAUUGAGGCUCGAAAGUGUGGGUAUCAAACAGGAUUAGAUACCCUGGUAGUCCACACGGUAAACGAUGAAUACUCGCUGUUUGCGAUAUACAGCAAGCGGCCAAGCGAAAGCGUUAAGUAUUCCACCUGGGGAGUACGCCGGCAACGGUGAAACUCAAAGGAAUUGACGGGGGCCCGCACAAGCGGAGGAACAUGUGGUUUAAUUCGAUGAUACGCGAGGAACCUUACCCGGGCUUAAAUUGCAGAUGAAUUACGGUGAAAGCCGUAAGCCGCAAGGCAUCUGUGAAGGUGCUGCAUGGUUGUCGUCAGCUCGUGCCGUGAGGUGUCGGCUUAAGUGCCAUAACGAGCGCAACCCUUGUUGUCAGUUACUAACAGGUUCUGCUGAGGACUCUGACAAGACUGCCAUCGUAAGAUGUGAGGAAGGUGGGGAUGACGUCAAAUCAGCACGGCCCUUACGUCCGGGGCUACACACGUGUUACAAUGGGGGGUACAGAGGGCCGCUACCACGCGAGUGGAUGCCAAUCCCCAAAACCUCUCUCAGUUCGGACUGGAGUCUGCAACCCGACUCCACGAAGCUGGAUUCGCUAGUAAUCGCGCAUCAGCCACGGCGCGGUGAAUACGUUCCCGGGCCUUGUACACACCGCCCGUA